AGGUUCAGGGUUGAGCAUAAGCCUCGAAGUGGUUCCAGGAUCUUUAAGACGGGCAGGGGCGUUGAUACCCGGAUGUUCGCUACUAUAAAGCCUACUGGAGACAUUUGUUCGCUACCCCAUCUCCGGCAAGACGCAAGAUAUCACGAUCAUCAACAAACCUUGGUUUGAAAGCUCCAAACACCUGCAGUGAGAAUGAGCACCAUUCAGCCACAAAUCAACGUUAUCUUGUACAGCAAUGCCGAUCUUAAUGGCGACUGUGUACAAGUCCCGGCAGACAUAGCGGAUUUGAAAGGCUUUAAAAACCGGGCACAAUCAGCCAUUGUAAUCCAUGGAAAUUGGGAGCUGGCAAGCAGUGAGGGAAACACUUAUGCUAUAAGCGAGAGCACCGGAAGGUAUACCAACCUUGGUAGUUUCAACCAAAAGGCCGUCUCCAUCAGGCGAACAUAAGGCGACGUUGCCAUGAAGUACGACCCUCUCAAGGAAGGAUGGAUUGAACAAGAGCUGACAUAGCAGCCACCUUAUAAGCGCAGCUUAAUGCUUUUUCCUUGUUAUAUACUCCAGAUUACCUUGCUAUUAAUGUCCAAUAUUUGCUUUAGUGGGUUACGCUCACUGCCUUUUGGAACAGAAUUUGAAUUCAAAAUCAUGAAUGGUCAUUAUUUCAAAGAGCAAUUACCGAAUUAUAACCCCAAAUACGUUGCCGGUAAUUUCUUAGUGAAAUUCUAAAGAUCGAAAAUACAACGCAGGAAAUAAUUGUUCUUUUCUAUUCUGUUACUCUCAGUGUAACACUAGCAUUUCCGUCUGUACGCCUUGCAUCACAUGUGCUGCUAUGAUCUGUCUAUAUUACAACGAAAACUCAAAGGAUGCAGUUGACAUUUUGUCGUCUCAAACUGACGUAGAUGUACUUAAAGCUUCAACAUGUGUCAGUAUCAGAUUAAAUUAUAAGGAACAGUCCAUGUUUCUGCAUCCGCUACUAUUUUAAAUGAUAAUGAAAGUUCUUCUCUCAAGUAGUUUCAUGUGGGGCUUUGCAGUUUAAAAUGUCAUUUCACACCAAAUUGAAUCAGGAAAUAAAAAACAAAACUCAAUUUAUACUUUGACUCGAUCAUCGCUCGUUGUUGAAAAUAAAUAUUGAUGAAAUAUUAA
This is a long non-coding RNA of Haliotis rufescens (red abalone), 1140 nucleotides long. RefSeq lists it as uncharacterized. Lineage: Eukaryota; Metazoa; Mollusca; Gastropoda; Lepetellida; Haliotidae. The transcript is spliced from 6 exons. The record is from RefSeq and is a predicted model, not a curated record.